UGGCGGCGUGCCUAACACAUGCAAGUCGAGCGGGACAUGCGACGGAGACGAAGUACUCGUACGGAGUCAAAGAUGUAAUGUCUAGCGGCGGACGGGUGAGUAACGCGUGAGCAACCUGUCCCUUACAGGGGGAUAACACAGCGAAAGUUGUACUAAUACCGCAUAAGACCACAGAGUGACAUCGCUCAGGGGUCAAAGGAGCAAUCCGGUAAGGGGUGGGCUCGCGUCCGAUUAGAUAGUUGGUGAGGUAACGGCCCACCAAGUCGACGAUCGGUAGCCGACCUGAGAGGGUGAUCGGCCACAUUGGGACUGAGACACGGCCCAAACUCCUACGGGAGGCAGCAGUGGGGGAUAUUGCACAAUGGGCGCAAGCCUGAAUGCAGCAACGCCGCGUGAGGGAAGACGGUUUUCGGAUUGUAAACCUCUGUCUUUGGUGACGAAGAAAUGACGGUAGCCGAGGAGGAAGCCACGGCUAACUACGUGCCAGCCGCCGC
RNAcentral lists this ribosomal RNA (494 nucleotides) under uncultured bacterium. RNAcentral describes it as "bacterial SSU rRNA". It matches the Rfam family "Bacterial small subunit ribosomal RNA", at positions 37 to 518 of the family's 1533-position model. The record is from RNAcentral.